UAAAAGUAGAGUUACCUUUUUACUCUUUUCUUUUCUCCCACCUUUUGGACUCGUUUGCUAGUUGUCAUUUACUUUUCAUUGUACUUCUUUUCUUCUUUGCAUGGUUCACCGAGGGAGACAAGGAAGAAGGAAGAAGGAAGAAGGAUUUCAAAAGGGGGUUUCUUAAGGAAGAUGAAGAGAUGAGAAAAUCAACAAGAUGAAGUUUAUAGUAGUUCAGCAUAUAGCUUACAUCCACUCUUCAAGAAGUUGAGGCUCUCUUGCAGAAGAUGGUUCAACAAAUUUCAACACAGGUUGCUUAGAUUUGUUAGAAGGAAGAGGGGUGAUGAUAGUUCUUUGGAGGUUGAAGAAGAAGAGCUUGCUUCAGUUCCCACGGUGGAAGAAAGGAUCGGAGCAAAAAAGGAGAAGAAGACGUGGGUCAGAAUUGCUCUGAUACCAUAUAAACUAAUGUCCAACAGUUAAUAAUUGAGGUGUUUUCUCAUUAAUUUAACUGAUGGUAAUUAGGAGUAUUUACAGUACUCUUUCACCGUACAAAUUUGGAAAACAAAAUAACAAAAAUAACUAAUUAUAAUACAUAAUUUAUACA
Cucumis sativus (cucumber) is the source of this 583-nucleotide long non-coding RNA. RefSeq lists it as uncharacterized. The transcript is spliced from 2 exons. The record is from RefSeq and is a predicted model, not a curated record. NCBI's taxonomy places the organism in Eukaryota, Viridiplantae, Streptophyta, Magnoliopsida, Cucurbitales, Cucurbitaceae.